UACGGAGGGUGCAAGCGUUAUCCGGAUUCACUGGGUUUAAAGGGUGCGUAGGUGGGUCUGUAAGUCAGUGGUGAAAUCUCCAAGCUUAACUUGGAACUGCCGUUGAUACUAUAGACCUUGAAUGCUGUGGAGGUAAGCGGAAUAUGUCAUGUAGCGGUGAAAUGCUUAGAUAUGACAUAGAACACCAAUUGCGAAGGCAGCUCACUACCCAGAUAUUGACACUGAGGCACGAAAGCGUGGGGAUCAAACAGG
Molecule: ribosomal RNA, 252 nt
Filed under: uncultured bacterium
Lineage: Bacteria
Description: partial 16S ribosomal RNA
Rfam family: Bacterial small subunit ribosomal RNA
Source: RNAcentral